CUUUAACCAUAAAAGUCUCUCUCUCUUAGCCCCAAAAACCAAACCCUCUGCACCAAAUCCCAAACCCCAAAACCCCAAUAGAAAGUGAAAUCUCUCAAAUUUCAAAACGAACCCAUAUCUUAAGCCACUGCAAGACCUUUAGCUAUAACUAUAUAAACAGAAAUUUUAUGGAUUCAGAUCAGGGAAAGCUAUUUAUUGGUGGGAUUUCGUGGGAGACAACCGAGGAGAAGCUUAACGACUACUUCUCUCAAUAUGGCGACGUUUUACAGACUGUGGUAAUGCGAGACAAGACCACUGGCAGACCCAGAGGCUUUGGCUUUGUCGUUUUCGCAGAUCCUUCCAUCCUCGAUAGGGUUCUUCAAGAUAAGCAUACCAUCGACGGUAGAACGGUUGAGGCAAAGAAAGCUUUGUCAAGAGAGGAGCAACAAACAAGUGUCAGGGCUGGAAACCUGAAUCCUGCUAGAAACACUGGCAACAGCGGAAAUAUCAGGACCAAAAAGAUUUUUGUUGGAGGGUUGCCUCCCACUCUUACUGAUGAUGGAUUCCGUCAGUAUUUUGAAGCUUAUGGCCAUGUUACUGAUGUAGUAAUAAUGUAUGACCAGAACACCCAACGGCCUCGUGGAUUUGGAUUUAUUUCCUUUGACAGUGAGGAUGCUGUUGACCAGGUCUUGCACAAAACUUUUCACGAUUUGAAUGGUAAGCAAGUUGAAGUAAAGCGGGCUCUUCCUAAAGAUGCUAAUCCUGGUGGGGGAAGCCGUUCUAUGGGUGGUGGUGCCAGUGGUGGUGGUGCUGGUGGUGGCUAUCAGGGCUAUGGUGCUUCUGGGGGCAAUUCAAACUCAUAUGAUGGUCGAAUGGAUUCAAAUAGGUACAUGCAGCCUCAGAGCACAGGAGGUGGCUUUCCUCCUUAUGGUUCAUCUGGUUAUAGUGCACCUGGUUAUGGAUACAGUCCUGCCAAUAAUAGUGUUGGAUAUGGUGGUUACGGUAGUUAUGGUGGUGCCAGUGCUGGCUAUGGCGGACCUGCUGGUGCUGCGUAUGGGAAUCCUAAUGUCCCAAGUCCUGGGUAUGCAAGCGGCCCACCUGGUGCCCCUAGAAGCUCAUGGAGCGGUCAAGCUCCUUCUGGCUAUGGUUCCAUGGGCUAUGGAACUGCUGCUUCUUGGGGGGCGCCAAAUACUGGUGCUGGUAGCGGUGGUCCUGGUUCAACUCCUGCAGGUCAAUCUCCUAGUGGGACUGCUGGGUAUGGGAAUCAAGGUUAUGGGUAUGGUAAUUAUGGUGGAAAUGAUGGGUCUUAUGGGAAUCCAACUGGAUAUGGGGCUGUUGGGGGGCGUUCUGGGGGUACUCCAAACAGUAAUGUUGGGGGUGCAGGUGAACUACAGGGGAGUGGCAGUGGUUACAUGGGAAGUGGCUAUGGUGAUGCAAAUGGAAAUCCAGGGUAUGGAAAUGCAGGUUGGAGGUCUGAGCCAUCACUAGCUUCUGGAAAUUAUGGGACUCCUCAGGCAAAUGGACCUCAUGGUGGGCAAGUUGGUUACGGUGGGGGGUAUGGUGGUGGUGCUCAGACUCGGCAAGGCCAACAACAGUGAUAACGAACACAUUGAUGCCAACUGGAUCUUCAUUGUUGUUUUAUGGGUACCUCCUGCUUUUCUCAUGAGGUCCUCCAAAGAUCUCUUGUUCUCUGCCUGGGAGGAGUGGAUCAAAUUGGAUGCGGACACUCAUUGGGACCGGAGGAGAUGCUCGAGUUCUAAGGUGGAGUCACGUGUCCACUCAUGGCCCGAGCUUCAUAGUGGGUGUGUGUUCAGUGAGGGGGGUUUUUCAGCGUGGACUGGAAUUUGAAGAGGGCGUAACAGUUGAAAUUGUGAAGUUAACCUGAGAGAGGCUAUUUUUCAGCUAGGCGGUGUCACCACUGUCAAUCUUGUUUGCAGAUUAUUGGCAUUACAAGUUAUAAAUUUCUCAAUCAUUCCAGGUCCUGGUGGCUAGUCAAUUUUGUGGGGCAAACAUCUUGUGGUACGUUGAUUUGAGCUGUUAGAUUCUCUGUUGACAAGAUGUGGCAUGCUGAUUGUUUAGGCUAUGGUGUGAUGCAUUGGAGUAGAUAUGUCAUUCCAAAAGUUUAGAGCACCAGAGGCAUUUUUAAUAACCGAAGCGUUGGUAUAUUUUGGAAUGAAGAAAAUGACUUUAAUCAUGUUAAUAUCAAUUUCUUUUAAUAGAAAAGAGGAUAAGCAACAUGCAAAUGGUCAUUGCUUGUCUACUGUGAUGCAUUUUUUAAUA
This is an RNA transcript of Hevea brasiliensis (rubber tree), 2259 nucleotides long. It is a transcript of the gene named heterogeneous nuclear ribonucleoprotein 1, with no coding region annotated. The record is from RefSeq and is a predicted model, not a curated record. NCBI's taxonomy places the organism in Eukaryota, Viridiplantae, Streptophyta, Magnoliopsida, Malpighiales, Euphorbiaceae. The transcript has 3 exons.